GGCGGGUCUCCCUGCAUAGCAAGUUGGAGCAACGGGUCAGGGGCGGAAGCCAGCAGCCCACUCUGAGGCGUUAGUGCCAGGGGUUUGGCUCGCCACC
Molecule: non-coding RNA, 97 nt
Organism: Neisseria sp.
Lineage: Bacteria; Pseudomonadati; Pseudomonadota; Betaproteobacteria; Neisseriales; Neisseriaceae
Rfam family: Bacterial small signal recognition particle RNA
About the family: The signal recognition particle (SRP) is a universally conserved ribonucleoprotein involved in the co-translational targeting of proteins to membranes. Archaeal SRP consists of a 7S RNA and homologues of the eukaryotic SRP19 and SRP54 proteins.
Source: Rfam